Molecule: non-coding RNA, 26 nt
Filed under: Cricetulus griseus (Chinese hamster)
Lineage: Eukaryota; Metazoa; Chordata; Mammalia; Rodentia; Cricetidae
Source: RNAcentral
UAUGAAUCCUGAGCAAAACAAGUAGG